CUGGCGGCGUGCUUAACACAUGCAAGUCGAACGAACCUUCGGGUUAGUGGCGGACGGGUGAGUAACGCGUGGGAACCUGCCCUCAGGAGGGGGAUAACGGCUGGAAACGGCCGCUAAUACCCCAUAUGCCGAGAGGUGAAACGAAAUUCGCCUGAGGAUGGGCCCGCGUCUGAUUAGCUAGUUGGUGGGGUAAGAGCCUACCAAGGCGACGAUCAGUAGCUGGUCUGAGAGGAUGAUCAGCCACACUGGGACUGAGACACGGCCCAGACUCCUACGGGAGGCAGCAGUGGGGAAUUUUCCGCAAUGGGCGAAAGCCUGACGGAGCAACGCCGCGUGAGGGAUGAAGGCCUCUGGGCUGUAAACCUCUUUUCUCAAGGAAGAAGAACUGACGGUACUUGAGGAAUAAGCCACGGCUAAUUCCGUGCCAGCAGCCGCGGUAAUACGGGAGUGGCAAGCGUUAUCCGGAAUUAUUGGGCGUAAAGCGUCCGCAGGCGGCCUUGUAAGUCUGUCGUUAAAGCGUGGAGCUUAACUCCAUUUCAGCGAUGGAAAC
This 550-nucleotide ribosomal RNA is filed under the name uncultured marine bacterium. RNAcentral describes it as "bacterial SSU rRNA". It matches the Rfam family "Bacterial small subunit ribosomal RNA", at positions 36 to 633 of the family's 1533-position model. The record is from RNAcentral.